Molecule: ribosomal RNA, 253 nt
Filed under: uncultured bacterium
Lineage: Bacteria
Description: partial 16S ribosomal RNA
Rfam family: Bacterial small subunit ribosomal RNA
Source: RNAcentral
UACGGAGGGGGCUAGCGUUGUUCGGAAUUACUGGGCGUAAAGCGCACGUAGGCGGAUUGUUAAGUCGGGGGUGAAAUCCCGGGGCUCAACCCCGGAACUGCCUUAGAUACUGGCAGUCUAGAGGUCUGGAGAGGUGAGUGGAAUUCCGAGUGUAGAGGUGAAAUUCGUAGAUAUUCGGAGGAACACCAGUGGCGAAGGCGGCUCACUGGCCAGAUACUGACGCUGAGGUGCGAAAGCGUGGGGAGCAAACAGG